CCUUCGGGUUGUAAAGCUCUUUCAGCCGGAAAGAAAUUGCUUCUAUUAAUACUAGGAGUAGAUGACGGUACCGGAAGAAGAAGCACCGGCUAACUACGUGC
RNAcentral lists this ribosomal RNA (101 nucleotides) under uncultured bacterium. RNAcentral's name for it is "partial 16S ribosomal RNA". The record is from RNAcentral.